UUCUCUAAGAAUUAAUUUAAAGUAAACCCUGCUCAAUGUCUAUGAUAAACUGCCGCAGUUAUCUGUGCUAAGGUAGCAUAAUCACUUGCUCUAUAAUUAAGAGAUAGAAUGAAAGGGCAAACGUAUUAAUAUUAUCUUUUUACUAAACCUUAAACUAAUCUUUAUGUAAAAAAGCAUAAAUAAUCUAGCAAGACGACAAGACCCUGAUAAGCUUCACUAUCAUUUAGUUGGGGCGACAAAAUAAAAACACCUUAUUAUUAUCAUAACAAAUUCAACUUAUAUAAUAAAUUAAAUAUCAGCUACUACAGGGAUAACAGCGCUAUUUCUUUCAAGAGCCCUUAUCUAAAAAGAAGAUUACGACCUCGAUGUUGAAUUAGUUUUACUCAUCCAGGCGCAAAAGCCUCUAAAGUCAGUCUGUUCGACUGUUAAUAAGCU
Molecule: ribosomal RNA, 435 nt
Filed under: Metagonia globulosa
Lineage: Eukaryota; Metazoa; Arthropoda; Arachnida; Araneae; Pholcidae
Description: partial 16S ribosomal RNA
Rfam family: Bacterial large subunit ribosomal RNA
Source: RNAcentral